UACGAAGGGGGCUAGCGUUGUUCGGAAUCACUGGGCGUAAAGCGCACGCAGGCGGACUGCUAAGUCGGGGGUGAAAGCCCGGGGCUCAACCCCGGAACUGCCUUCGAUACUGUCAGUCUCGAGUCCGGGAGAGGUGAGUGGAAUUCCUAGUGUAGAGGUGAAAUUCGUAGAUAUUAGGAAGAACACCAGUGGCGAAGGCGACUCACUGGCCCGGUACUGACGCUCAGGUGCGAAAGCGUGGGGAGCAAACAGG
Molecule: ribosomal RNA, 253 nt
Filed under: uncultured bacterium
Lineage: Bacteria
Description: partial 16S ribosomal RNA
Rfam family: Bacterial small subunit ribosomal RNA
Source: RNAcentral